UCCCUGGUGGCUCAGCUGGUAGAGAAUCUGCCUGCAAUGCAGGAGACCCCGGUUUGAUCCCUGGGUUGGGAA
This 72-nucleotide transfer RNA is filed under the name Ovis aries (sheep). It matches the Rfam family "tRNA". Rfam says of the family: Transfer RNA (tRNA) molecules are approximately 80 nucleotides in length. Their secondary structure includes four short double-helical elements and three loops (D, anti-codon, and T loops). Further hydrogen bonds mediate the characteristic L-shaped molecular structure. tRNAs have two regions of fundamental functional importance: the anti-codon, which is responsible for specific mRNA codon recognition, and the 3' end, to which the tRNAs corresponding amino acid is attached (by aminoacyl-tRNA synthetases). tRNAs cope with the degeneracy of the genetic code in two manners: having more than one tRNA (with a specific anti-codon) for a particular amino acid; and 'wobble' base-pairing, i.e. permitting non-standard base-pairing at the 3rd anti-codon position. Lineage: Eukaryota; Metazoa; Chordata; Mammalia; Artiodactyla; Bovidae. The record is from Rfam by way of RNAcentral.